This 1330-nucleotide long non-coding RNA is filed under the name Olea europaea (common olive). RNAcentral describes it as "long non-coding RNA (OEUR_LNC008267)". The record is from RNAcentral. Lineage: Eukaryota; Viridiplantae; Streptophyta; Magnoliopsida; Lamiales; Oleaceae.
CCUAUGUCUGAGCAUAUUGAUACUGAUUAUCCAUUGUGAUGAUCUCAUUCAUUACCAAAUUACAACUUGGUUGCAAAUUUUGUGUUUUUUUUUCUCCCUCUCCUUCCUUUACCUUUCAGGUCAUGCUGGUUUCACUUAAAAAUCACUUCAUACAGGUGUGCUUUGAUGGCCUUAGAUAUGCUGCUGCAUUUAUUGGGAGAGAGCAUAUAUUUUCUGUAAAUGACCUUUUCCCCAUUUUGAAUUGGAAGGACUUGUUUAAUUGUGCAUAUAUUGGGUGUCCAUUCCUUUUCGAAUUCUUAUUCUGUACAAUACAAACUUAUAAGAGUGAAUGUCUAUACACUGUUCAUAUUUUCGUCCAAUAUGACGUCGUUUUGAUAACAUUAUCGUGACCCUUUUUACCUGUAUCUCAACACGACAUCGUUUUACUAACUCUAACUAAAAAACGAUGUCACUUUGGUCUUUGACCCAGCCAUCUCUUUGCCCUUUUUCAAUUCAAGUGCCUUUGAAUCUGACAUAAUUUGCCCUUCUUUAAUCUUUCUCCAUCUUCCCACACUACCAACCAUGACUCUUUAUACCUCUAUUCCCCCCCCCCCAUACAACCACCCCUCCUUUCUUCUUCCCUCUUUUCUACUUGUUCUCUCCCACAGUUUUUCUCUAAAUGCUGCUAAUUUCGCCGAAUCAUUCCACAAAACUGGAUUUUCUGUUUUUAUUUAAUAAUCAUUAUUUGAACCUUGGUCUUUCCAAUGAUUCUUUCUCUACUUUGUAGGUUUUCUUCCUUGUUUUGGCAGAUCAGACUUUGAUACUUUUGGUAACAGUUAGGCUUUUGUAAAUUUUUAUUGAUUUCACUAACUGGAUUUCGAAUAAGAACUUUUGAUGGUUCGAUGGAGUUUUUCCUUAUGUGUAGAUUCUUGUGUCUUUGAGAAAAAAAAUCGUAUUUCUCAUUUAUCUCUUGGAUCGUAACUUGAAGGUGAUGUGAUUUUGUAGUCCGAUUAGAGAAUUUGGGUUUCUGGUAUUUUCUUGAAACUAGUUAUUUUAUAUCUUGGGUCUUCAUUCACUGUUUUGCGGCUUUCUUCUUGGCCCAAUUUCUUAUACAAAUACAGUCCGUUCUGUGUACACAAUUCCAGAUGACAAACAUUUCCAUAACUGGGUAAUAUUUGCUUCUUGGUUGUCAAUAUAAUUGUUGAUUAUUUCACAUUUUUAGUUUCAAUUCAGCUUCCCUUUAAUCAUGACUCGAUUUAAUUAUUUAUGCAUUGUUCCUUUUGUAAUUUCAUUACUUGGCUCUUAAGAUGGCUUCUUGCUUGUUUGAUUGAAAUCAUACUUUAACUAAGCC